This 399-nucleotide ribosomal RNA is filed under the name uncultured bacterium. RNAcentral's name for it is "partial 16S ribosomal RNA". It matches the Rfam family "Bacterial small subunit ribosomal RNA", at positions 360 to 776 of the family's 1533-position model. The record is from RNAcentral.
AAUAUUGCACAAUGGGCGAAAGCCUGAUGCAGCAACGCCUCGUGAGUGAUGAAGGCCUNCGGGUCNUNAAGCUCUUUGAUCAGGGNUGACAAUGACAGUACCUGCAAAACAAGCCCCGUCUACCUACGUGCCAGCAGCCGCGGUAAUACGUAGGUGGCGAGCGUUGUCCGGAAUUACUGGGCGUAAAGGACGCGUAGGCGGAUACUUAAGUGGGAUGUGAAAUCCCCGGGCUCAACCCGGGAACUGCAUUCCAAACUGGGUAUCUAGAGUGCAGGAGAGGAAAGCGGAAUUCCUAGUGUAGCGGUGAAAUGCGUAGAUAUUAGGAGGAACACCAGUGGCGAAGGCGGCUUUCUGGACUGUAACUGACACUGAGGCAUGAAAGCGUGGGUAGCAAACAGG